Molecule: ribosomal RNA, 497 nt
Filed under: uncultured bacterium
Lineage: Bacteria
Description: partial 16S ribosomal RNA
Rfam family: Bacterial small subunit ribosomal RNA
Source: RNAcentral
GAUGAACGCUGGCGGCGUGCCUAAUACAUGCAAGUCGAGCGAACAGACGAGGAGCUUGCUCCUCUGACGUUAGCGGCGGACGGGUGAGUAACACGUGGAUAACCUACCUAUAAGACUGGGAUAACUUCGGGAAACCGGAUCUAAUACCGGAUAAUAUAUUGAACCGCAUGGUUCAAUAGUGAAAGACGGUUUUGCUGUCACUUAUAGAUGGAUCCGCGCCGCAUUAGCUAGUUGGUAAGGUAAUGGCUUACCAAGGCGACGAUGCGUAGCCGACCUGAGAGGGUGAUCGGCCACACUGGAACUGAGACACGGUCCAGACUCCUACGGGAGGCAGCAGUAGGGAAUCUUCCGCAAUGGGCGAAAGCCUGACGGAGCAACGCCGCGUGAGUGAUGACGGUCUUCGGAUCGUAAAACUCUGUUAUUAGGGAAGAACAAAUGUGUAAGUAACUAUGCACGUCUUGACGGUACCUAAUCAGAAAGCCACGGCUAACUACGUG